AGUGAACGCUGGCGGCGUGCCUAAUACAUGCAAGUCGAACGGAGAGGCGCACGGGUGAGUAAUGUAUAGCUAAUCUGCCCUACACUAGAGGACAACAGUUGGGAACGACUGCUAAUACUCUAUAGUGUAGGAUGAGGCUAUAUUGUAUCAGCUAGUGGGUGAGGUAAUGGCUCCCCAAGGCUAUGACGCAUAACUGGUCUGAGAGGAUGAUCAGUCACACGGGAACGGAGACACGGUUGAGACUCCUACGGGAGGCAGCAGUAGGGAAUAGUGCUCAAUGGGGGAAACCCUGGAGCAGCAACGCCGCGUGGAGGAUGACAAUUUUCGGAGCGUACACUCAUGUUGUUAGGGAAGCGUUACCUAACGAAUAAGCACCGGCUAACUCCGUGCCAGCAGCCGCGGUAAUUC
RNAcentral lists this ribosomal RNA (408 nucleotides) under uncultured bacterium. Its description in RNAcentral is "partial 16S ribosomal RNA". It matches the Rfam family "Bacterial small subunit ribosomal RNA", at positions 29 to 526 of the family's 1533-position model. The record is from RNAcentral.